AGAGUUUGAUCCUGGCUCAGGAUGAACGCUAGCGACAGGCCUAACACAUGCAAGUCGAGGGGCAUCGGGGCGAGGAGCAAUCCUUGCCGCCGGCGACCGGCGCACGGGUGAGUAACGCGUAUGCGACCUGCCCGUUGCAGGGGGAUAAUCGGGAGAAAUCCCGUCUAAUACCGCGUAAUGCCGCGGGGCUGCAUGGCCCUGCGGCCAAAGGAAGCGAUUCCGGCAACGGAUGGGCAUGCGUGACAUUAGCUAGUUGGCGGGGCAACGGCCCACCAAGGCGACGAUGUCUAGGGGUUCUGAGAGGAAGGUCCCCCACACUGGUACUGAGACACGGACCAGACUCCUACGGGAGGCAGCAGUGAGGAAUAUUGGUCAAUGGGCGCGAGCCUGAACCAGCCAAGUCGCGUGAGAGAUGACGGCCCUACGGGUUGUAAACCUCUUUUGUCAGGGAGCAAGAGGCGGGUCGGGACCUGCUGUGAGAGUACCUGAAGAAAAAGCAUCGGCUAACUCCGUGCCAGCAGCCGCGGUAAUACGGAGGAUGCGAGCGUUAUCCGGAUUUAUUGGGUUUAAAGGGUGCGCAGGCGGAGGCACGAGUCAGCGGUAAAAUCGCGGGGCUCAACCCCGCUCCGCCGUUGAAACUGUGUCCCUUGAGUGUCGGAGAGGUAAUCGGAAUUCCUUGUGUAGCGGUGAAAUGCGUAGAUAUAAGGAAGAACACCAGUGGCGAAGGCGGAUUACUGGACGAUAACUGACGGUGAGGCGCGAAAGCGUGGGGAGCAAACAGGAUUAGAUACCCUGGUAGUCCACGCUGUAAACGAUCGAUACUAGGUGUGCGGGGACUGACCCCCUGCGUGCCGGAGUUAACACAAUAAGUAUCGCACCUGGGGAGUACGAUCGCAAGGUUGAAACUCAAAGGAAUUGACGGGGGCCCGCACAAGCGGUGGAUUAUGUGGUUUAAUUCGAAGAUACGCGAAGAACCUUACCAGGUCUUGACAUCCGACUAACGAAGUAGAGAUACAUUAGGUGCCCUUCGGGGAAAGUCGAGACAGGUGGUGCAUGGUUGUCGUCAGCUCGUGUCGUGAGAUGUUGGGUUAAGUCCCGCAACGAGCGCAACCCUUACUGUUAGUUGCUACGCAAGAGCACUCUAGCAGGACUGCCGUUGACAAAACGGAGGAAGGUGGGGACGACGUCAAAUCAUCAUGCCCCUUAUGACCUGGGCUACACACGUACUACAAUGGCCGUAAACAGAGGGAAGCAAAGCCGCGAGGUGGAGCCAACCCCAAAAGCGGUCUCAGUUCAGAUUGCAGGCUGCAACUCGCCUGCAUGAAGUCGGAAUUGCUAGUAAUCGCAGAUCAGAAUGCUGCGGUGAAUACGUUCCCGGGCCUUGCACACACCGCCCGUCAAG
RNAcentral lists this ribosomal RNA (1402 nucleotides) under uncultured bacterium. RNAcentral describes it as "partial 16S ribosomal RNA". It matches the Rfam family "Bacterial small subunit ribosomal RNA". The record is from RNAcentral.